This is a non-coding RNA of Heteronotia binoei (common prickly gecko), 77 nucleotides long. The record is from the annotation of a RefSeq genome assembly. NCBI's taxonomy places the organism in Eukaryota, Metazoa, Chordata, Lepidosauria, Squamata, Gekkonidae.
GGGGAGGGCCUGUGGCUCAAUGGCUGAGCAUCUGCUUAGCAUGCAGAAGGUCCCAGGUUCAAUCCCUGGCUUCUCCA